CGCUAGGAUGAACGCUAGCGACAGGCCUAACACAUGCAAGUCGAGGGGCAGCACAAGGAGCAAUCUGAGGUGGCGACCGGCGCACGGGUGAGUAACACGUAUGCAACCUGCCUGUAAGCGGGGAAUAACCCGUUGAAAGACGGACUAAUACCGCAUAAUACUAAAUUACUGCAUGGUAAUUUAUUUAAACAUUUAUGGCUUACAGAUGGGCAUGCGCAUGAUUAGCUAGUUGGAGAGGUAACGGCUCCCCAAGGCAACGAUCAUUAGGGGUUCUGAGAGGAAGGUCCCCCACACUGGUACUGAGACACGGACCAGACUCCUACGGGAGGCAGCAGUGAGGAAUAUUGGUCAAUGGACGAGAGUCUGAACCAGCCAAGUCGCGUGCAGGAAGAAUGUUCCCUAUGGAUUGUAAACUGCUUUUGCAGGGGAAUAAAGUGCAUCACGUGUGAUGUUUUGUAUGUACUCUGCGAAUAAGGAUCGGCUAACUCCGUGCCAGCCGCGGC
This 503-nucleotide ribosomal RNA is filed under the name uncultured bacterium. Its description in RNAcentral is "bacterial SSU rRNA". It matches the Rfam family "Bacterial small subunit ribosomal RNA", at positions 26 to 518 of the family's 1533-position model. The record is from RNAcentral.